GCCAAGAUCGCAUAACUCGGUAUUGCGCUACACUGCUAAUGUAGUUCCUUCGGAAUUCUGGGUUCAAAUCCCAGUCUUGGCG
RNAcentral lists this transfer RNA (82 nucleotides) under Candidatus Woesearchaeota archaeon. RNAcentral's name for it is "tRNA-Ser". It matches the Rfam family "tRNA". From Rfam's summary of the family: Transfer RNA (tRNA) molecules are approximately 80 nucleotides in length. Their secondary structure includes four short double-helical elements and three loops (D, anti-codon, and T loops). The record is from RNAcentral. Lineage: Archaea; Nanobdellati; Candidatus Woesearchaeota.